This 635-nucleotide ribosomal RNA is filed under the name uncultured bacterium. RNAcentral's name for it is "bacterial SSU rRNA". It matches the Rfam family "Bacterial small subunit ribosomal RNA", at positions 139 to 790 of the family's 1533-position model. The record is from RNAcentral.
GGGGAUAACAGUUAGAAAUGACUGCUAAUACCGCAUAAGCGCACUAGAACCGCAUGGUUCGGUGUGAAAAACUGAGGUGGUAUAGGAUGGACCCGCGUCUGAUUAGCUUGUUGGUGGGGUAACGGCUCAUCAAGGCGACGAUCAGUAGCCGUCCUGAGAGGGCGACCGGCCACAUUGGGACUGAGACACGGCCCAAACUCCUACGGGAGGCAGCAGUGGGGAAUAUUGCACAAUGGGGGAAACCCUGAUGCAGCGACGCCGCGUGAGUGAAGAAGUAUUUCGGUAUGUAAAGCUCUAUCAGCAGGGAAGAAAAUGACGGUACCUGACUAAGAAGCCCCGGCUAACUACGUGCCAGCAGCCGCGGUAAUACGUAGGGGGCAAGCGUUGUCCGGAUUUACUGGGUGUAAAGGGAGCGUAGGUGGCAUGGUAAGCCAGAAGUGAAAACCCAGGGCUCAACUCUGUGGAUUGCUUUUGGAACUAUCAAGCUAGAGUGCUGGAGGGGUAAGCGGAAUUCCUAGUGUAGCGGUGAAAUGCGUAGAUAUUAGGAGGAACACCGGUGGCGAAGGCGGCUUACUGGACAGAAACUGACACUGAGGCUCGAAAGCGUGGGGAGCAAAAAGGAUUAGAUACCCUGG